UACGUAGGGUGCGAGCGUUGUCCGGAAUUACUGGGCGUAAAGAGCUCGUAGGUGGUUUGUCGCGUUGUUCGUGAAAACUCACAGCUCAACUGUGGGCGUGCGGGCGAUACGGGCAGACUAGAGUUCGGUAGGGGAGUCUGGAAUUCCUGGUGUAGCGGUGAAAUGCGCAGAUAUCAGGAGGAACACCGGUGGCGAAGGCGGGACUCCGGGCCGAUACUGACGCUGAGGAGCGAAAGCGUGGGGAGCAAACAGG
This 253-nucleotide ribosomal RNA is filed under the name uncultured bacterium. Its description in RNAcentral is "partial 16S ribosomal RNA". It matches the Rfam family "Bacterial small subunit ribosomal RNA", at positions 524 to 776 of the family's 1533-position model. The record is from RNAcentral.